UACGGGGGGGGUAAGCGUUGUUCGGAAUUACUGGGCGUAAAGCGCGUGUAGGCGGUUGUCCAAGUUGGAUGUGAAAGCCUUGAGCUUAACUCAAGAAAUGCAUUCAGGACUGGAUGACUAGAGGACCGGAGAGGAUAGUGGAAUUCCCAGUGUAGUGGUGAAAUACGUAGAGAUUGGGAAGAACACCAGUGGCGAAGGCGGCUAUCUGGACGGUUUCUGACGCUAAGACGCGAAAGCGUGGGGAGCAAACAGG
This 253-nucleotide ribosomal RNA is filed under the name uncultured bacterium. Its description in RNAcentral is "partial 16S ribosomal RNA". It matches the Rfam family "Bacterial small subunit ribosomal RNA", at positions 524 to 776 of the family's 1533-position model. The record is from RNAcentral.